Molecule: ribosomal RNA, 253 nt
Filed under: uncultured bacterium
Lineage: Bacteria
Description: partial 16S ribosomal RNA
Rfam family: Bacterial small subunit ribosomal RNA
Source: RNAcentral
UACAGAGACUGCAAGCGUUAUUCGGAUUCACUGGGCGUAAAGGGUGCGCAGGCGGCCAGGUGUGUUAGGCGUGAAAGCCCGGGGCUUAACCCCGGAAUUGCACCUAAAACUACAUGGCUAGAGCAUUGGAGAGGGUAGCGGAAUUCACGGUGUAGCAGUGAAAUGCGUAGAUAUCGCGAGGAACACCAGAGGCGAAGGCGGCUACCUGGACAAUUGCUGACGCUCAGGCACGAAAGCGUGGGGAGCAAAAGGG